Molecule: ribosomal RNA, 507 nt
Filed under: Triticum aestivum (bread wheat)
Lineage: Eukaryota; Viridiplantae; Streptophyta; Magnoliopsida; Poales; Poaceae
Description: partial small subunit ribosomal RNA
Source: RNAcentral
AUGAUUGGCCUCUUUUGGAACUGUAGGGGGGAAGGUAAGAAAGGCAUGUCUACCUGCCUCACUGACAUGAUUAAUGCCAAUGAGGUGGAUUUCCAAACUAUGAAGAGUAACUAUACUCCUUCCUUCUUUAGAAAAUUGGACCCACACCAAAAAUUUAUUUGGGAGUGGAUUCCAUCCAGGGGGAAAUCUGGAGGUAUCCUAUGUGGGAUCAAUAAAGAUAAGUUUGAUAUCCUUGAGGUGAAGCAUGGGAAGUUUAUUUUGCAAAUUAAUCUUUUUGAUAAGAGUAAAAAAUGUAAUUGGGCCCUGCUGGUGGUCUAUGGGGCUGCUCAGGAUGAAAAUAAACCUGAGUUUAUAACAGAGAUGUCCUCUAUGUGCCACAAAACUACUAUUCCUUACCUAGUUGGUGGGUUUUUAACAUCCUAUGUCAUAGUGGGGAGAAAAACAAGAAAACCUCCUUGUCUCAUUUUUCUGAUGUGUUCAAUUCGGUUAUACACCUGCUGGGGCUGA